UGCCAGCCGCCGCGGUAAGACGGAGGGUGCAAACGUUGUUCGGAAUUACUGGGCAUAAAGCGCACGUAGGCGGCUUCAUCAGUCUGGUGUGAAAGCCCUCGGCUCAACCGGGGAAUGGCAUCGGAUACUGUGAGGCUUGAGGACGGUUGGGGUGAGUGGAACUCCUGGUGGAGCGGUGAAAUGCGUAGAUAUCAGGAGGAACACCAGUGGCGAAAGCGACUCACUGGGCCGUAUCUGACGCUGAGGUGCGAAAGCUAGGGUAGCGAACGGGAUUAGAUA
This 279-nucleotide ribosomal RNA is filed under the name uncultured bacterium. RNAcentral's name for it is "partial 16S ribosomal RNA". It matches the Rfam family "Bacterial small subunit ribosomal RNA", at positions 506 to 784 of the family's 1533-position model. The record is from RNAcentral.